AUUGAACGCUGGCGGCAGGCCUAACACAUGCAAGUCGAGCGGAUGAAGGGAGCUUUCUCCUGGAUUCAGCGGCGGACGGGUGAGUAAUGCCUAGGAAUCUGCCUGGUAGUGGGGGAUAACGUCCGGAAACGGGCGCUAAUACCGCAUCCGUCCUGAGGGAGAAAGUUGGGGUUCUUCUGACCUCACGCUAUCAGUUGAUCCUAGGUCGGAUUAGCUAGUUGGUGGGGUAAAGGCCUACCAAGGCGACGAUCCGUAACUGGUCUGAGAGGAUGAUCAGUCACACUGGAACUGAGACACGGUCCAGACUCCUACGGGAGGCAGCAGUGGGGAAUAUUGGACAAUGGGCGAAAGCCUGAUCCAGCCAUGCCGCGUGUGUGAAGAAGGUCUUCGGAUUGUAAAGCACUUUAAGUUGGGAGGAAGGGCAGUAAGUUAAUAACUUGCUGUUUUGAAGGUACCAACAGAAUAAGCACCGGCUAACUUCGUG
This 484-nucleotide ribosomal RNA is filed under the name uncultured bacterium. Its description in RNAcentral is "partial 16S ribosomal RNA". It matches the Rfam family "Bacterial small subunit ribosomal RNA", at positions 30 to 507 of the family's 1533-position model. The record is from RNAcentral.